AAGUCGUAACAAGGUUUCCGUAGGUGAACCUGCGGAAGGAUCAUUAUCGAGUUUUGACUGGGUUGUAGCUGGCCUUCCGAGGCAUGUGCACGCCCUGCUCAUCCACUCUACACCUGUGCACUUACUGUGGGUUUCAGAUGUUAUUAGCGGGGCCUUUACGGGUCUCGUGAAAGCGUCUGUGCCUGCGUUUAUUACAAACUCUUAAAAGUAACAGAAUGUGUAUUGCGAUGUAACGCAUUUAAAUACAACUUUCAGCAACGGAUCUCUUGGCUCUC
This 275-nucleotide unclassified non-coding RNA is filed under the name Perenniporia sp. RNAcentral's name for it is "partial internal transcribed spacer region". The stretch from base 1 to 46 matches the Rfam family "Eukaryotic small subunit ribosomal RNA", at positions 1786 to 1831 of the family's 1831-position model. Lineage: Eukaryota; Fungi; Basidiomycota; Agaricomycetes; Polyporales; Polyporaceae. The record is from RNAcentral.